GGCUCUGUAAGAGGUCAAAGGACUUGAAGACUGUGUGUCACGUGGCUUCCCUGCCCCCUGCGAGGGCCGCCUCUGACGCUCCUUGGGAAACCUUAGCUAGCCAUGGUCUCCUUCUCAGCAGAUGGUGCUCUGGUCCCUUAGAAAAGUGAAGGGAACUUCUUGACUUUUCUAUGCAGAGCUUGCAUCUUCCUGAACUUUACCUUCAAUUGCCAGCUGGUUACCCCACAGGCCCCUCUAGAGACUACACCCUUUUUAUUUUCUCCAGAACUACCACCAACCCUUACAGGACAUCAGGACAUCCUGGAAGGGGAAGAGAAGCAAGCUGAAGAGCAAGCCAGCCAGAGAGGAGUUGAAUCCUAAGCUAAUUGUAGGUCUCUGCUGCUGUCCUGGAAGCAUUUCUGCCCCCAUCCACCAUGAUAGGCAAACCCUCCCCAGAUGUAUCGGAAAUCUUCCACAGGAUCGGCUCUGGGACCAGAAUCCCAGUACCUACAAAGAAACCAACGGGAGGGACAAAGGACGUAAAUGGAAAUGGACAGCUCACUGACGCUUCAUAAGCACAAGGGGACUUGGAACUCAUUCUCUUGAAAUCUCACCCAUAAAAAUUUCCAAACUAUCUGACUCUAUUCUCUAAUUCACAGUUUAAAUCUGUUACAAAUAUCAGCCACAAAAAGACUUGUAAUUGCUUUCAUUCAAGGACACUACAUUGUGCUUUAUGAAAUAUCUUAUCUCCUCUUAAUUUUAUUUUUAGCCUCAGUCCAGUCUCAAUCCCUCACUCUGUAUUCAAAUGUAAUUUCCCAGUGACUUUGGAGAAACCUUAUUUGUAGAAUCUCUAUGUGAAGAUAAUUCAAUCCCUAGAGGUUUCCAUCUCCACAUUGCACA
This is a long non-coding RNA of Acinonyx jubatus (cheetah), 879 nucleotides long. RefSeq lists it as uncharacterized. The transcript is spliced from 4 exons. The record is from RefSeq and is a predicted model, not a curated record. Lineage: Eukaryota; Metazoa; Chordata; Mammalia; Carnivora; Felidae.